UGGAAUGUAGCUCAGCCAGGUAGAGCAACUGGCUUAUACCCAGCGUGACGGGGGUUCAAAUCCUCCCAUUCCAA
Molecule: transfer RNA, 74 nt
Filed under: Clostridium sp. AM45-5
Lineage: Bacteria; Bacillati; Bacillota; Clostridia; Eubacteriales; Clostridiaceae
Description: tRNA-Ile
Rfam family: tRNA
About the family: Transfer RNA (tRNA) molecules are approximately 80 nucleotides in length. Their secondary structure includes four short double-helical elements and three loops (D, anti-codon, and T loops). Further hydrogen bonds mediate the characteristic L-shaped molecular structure. tRNAs have two regions of fundamental functional importance: the anti-codon, which is responsible for specific mRNA codon recognition, and the 3' end, to which the tRNAs corresponding amino acid is attached (by aminoacyl-tRNA synthetases). tRNAs cope with the degeneracy of the genetic code in two manners: having more than one tRNA (with a specific anti-codon) for a particular amino acid; and 'wobble' base-pairing, i.e. permitting non-standard base-pairing at the 3rd anti-codon position.
Source: RNAcentral